Molecule: long non-coding RNA, 3825 nt
Organism: Aotus nancymaae (Ma's night monkey)
Lineage: Eukaryota; Metazoa; Chordata; Mammalia; Primates; Aotidae
Source: Ensembl
GGUUUUAGCCCGCGGGAUGCUACGUGGCCCCGCCCUCUUCCGGGAGCUGGUGGCGCUUGGGAGACGCGGCCCGUGUUCUGCGUCCGGCGCCCCCUGCCUCACGUCUCCAAUGCUGCGUUUUCUGAGCUGGUUCUCUUAGCUGCAAUAUUGCUGUCCGGCCCUCUGCUUUCAGCUUUAGCAAGGAGGCCACCAUUUGCUCGAACCUAAGUGGCGAAUUCCCCGUCACCCAUGCUUAACCUGGCUUCUGAGGAAAAUCUAUUCAAGAGUGGUGCUAUCCCCAGUACCUGGAAGACUUUGAUAGUUCUGGAUACAAAGCAUGUGAAAAUAUCAAGUAACAUUUCACAUCCUGAUGAAGAGCAUGCUGCUAAAAACACCCCUCUGGAAAGUGGCGACUGUGAUGCUUCCGCAUAUGCCCGAAUUCCGAGAAGAAAUCCCCCAACUAACAGAGGCAAUUCUCCCUGGAAGGCAGGAAUCCCACCAUGGAGAAUCAACAUGCGAUCAGUCACUGUUCUGUAUGAAUGCACAUUUCUCAGGUCUCUGGAGAAUUCGCAGAGAAAUUGUCAGUCCUUCACCAGACUUUAUAGGACUCUUCAGUUUAUGGAAGAGGUUCAGAAAAAGAGCUGAUGCAGGUCUUGGCACUGUGUCAGUCACAGAUGAAGGUGAGAGUGAAUAUGCAUGUUUUGGAACUUCCUGUAUUUUGUUGGUGUAUCUCCUGCAAAGCAUCUUCCAUUUGUUAGUUUUAAAAGUCAGAAUCAAGAACUAUUUAAAAGAUCCGUCCUUGCUGCUUAAGCUCUAUGUUCCCAUAAAAUAGCUGGAUCUAAGCCUAAAAUAUGGAUUUUUAAAAUUCACUUUAGGAUAUCUGUUUGGACUAAGAUGACAAUGCAUUUCUUGGAGGAAAAUGGAUGGCAGUGGAAAGCCUCUUCUGAGCUGACAAAGAACAAAAAUGGCACCCACACCCUUUUGUCUAAAAACAUGACAUCUUCUCAGGCCUUCUGGGUACUGUUUCUUUUUGUUCCUUUUUUUUUUUUUUAAAGCUAAAGGUGAAUUGACAGUGUCUACCCUGAACGUGCACUGUAUUAAGCAUUGCAUUUUCAUAUGUAUAUGAAUGUAUAUUUCAUUUUAUCCUCAAACCUAGAUUGUGAGAUUCAUAUCAUUUUUUUUGGAAAUGAUAUGCUAAUUGUCUUGAAAUUGUCUUGAAUUGCCUUGUCUUGAAAUCUGGGAUUGUUUGUCUUGAAAUUUAGGAUGAUAUAUUUCUUUAUGAAGCAGCUUUUUAAGAAUAACUCAUCAGUGAUCUUGUUCAAGGCUGAACCCUGUUGGUGAGGUUCCCAGUUUGCACAUUUUCUACCUUUGCCUCAGAUGUGAGAUAGCCAGUCUGAAGUCCAGAUACAAGCAUACAUCUUUCUCACUUAAAAACAAUUCUAGACAAAGAAACCCAGUAUUUUAAUGGAAAAGCAUGGGAAAAAAAAUUAUUACAUGAUGCAUGUACAUUGAAAUUCUCCCAGCUAGUACUUUCUCCUUUUUCUCACAGACUUCAUUUUGCUAUUCAAAGCAACAAUUUGCUUAGGGCACAUUUUAUUAGCAUUUGGGUUGAUAAUGUACAGUAUGCAAAUUAGAUAUGAAAGCCACUGUUGCAAAAAAGAAAAAAAAAGCCAAUCUAAUUUAGGAAUCUGAUCUCUAUUUGCAGUUGCUCAUCCAUGUCACCCUGCCCAACAUGUGUCCAUGGGCCAGAUGCAUGAUGCCCUGCAGAGUAUCAUAAUACUCAGUUGUUAAUUUCAUAGUCUACUAUAGCAUCAAAGAAUGGCAGAGGCAGCCCACAAGCAGGAGAAGACAGCUAGCUGUGAAGCAGUUAAAUGCUUGCCUUCCCUUGGUAAAAGAAAUCUUUCUGAGGCAACUCCGCUGACUUCAGAACUUGAAUAUUUAUGCUACAGAGGAAAUCAGCCAUAAAUUUACAUUUUUAGCAGCUAGGUUAUCGCAGGGACGGAAAGGAAGAAUAAUAAUAUUAAAAAAGGAAUUGGACAAUAUAAUCAGUCCUUCACAAAAUCUGGCCCAACUUUAAAAGAUAAUUAUUGAAAAUAGAAGUCCCUUUGUUCCUAAUUAGACAAAGAAUUGUCUUAAUACAAAUUGUUCUUAAAUCCAUCUUUAAUCAAAUUUGUUCAGUGCUUAGCACUCCAUUAUAGUAACAGCUUAUUUAUCUGACUCUGUCAGGGAGUUAGUUGUUCCACAUAAGUGAAUUUCACAGAUAACUGAAACAUACACCCUCAAGUGAAAAAACUUUAGAAAAAUGAACCAUUUUGAUGAAAACACUACUAAAAUGUAUUAUGCAACACCUGCUAUCUUAAAUAGCGUUUGUCAAAUAAUUAAUGCCUUUUCUAAAUGUAGCCAAUAUUUCCCAAGAAGUAACAAAUAGGAACAGAAAUGGGGCAGGGAAUAAAAACGAAGACUCCUCAAAUCUGCCACGGCUGCUGGUUUUGCAAUCACAGGUGUUUCAGUUCUUUGAGUCAUUGUCAUCUGCAACUCUCAAGCUGUCCCUGCUGCUGUGGAGGCAAGAUGUCACUAAGGGGACUGUUGCCUACGGAUGCUUCGUGGCUGGCCCCUGCUUCUGCCACUGUGAAUAAGUGAAGGCUCUGUUACUGCCCCUGGAGGACUCACUGACUCUGGAACCACUUCUCGUGAUGUCUGCAAGCUCCUAUUGUGGUAGGGUCGCAUCUCUGAAGUUACUCUAAGGAAGCGGAGAGAACAUUUUUCCCCUUUUUUGCCUUACUGUGCUUUUGAGGUCUCACGGAGAUCUUGUGUGGAAGCAAGUCUCUCUUUUCUUACUUCCAGCCAAAUCAUUUCUUAAGAAUAGACAAGUUCGUGGGGACUUGGCUGAAGAGCAACAGAAACAACAAACACACUGUGGGGUGCCUCAAAUAAUUUUAUUUUCUUGGAGGCUUAAAGAUUCUUGUUUUCUUAAAAAUAGAUAAUCUAUGCGUACCUCACCAGCCCACCUAAUGUGCCCUCACAUGGCUGAGUCUCAGUGGGAACCCAACUUAAGCUCAAGCCAUUAGGGCAAUAUCUGAGAGGCACAGUUUUUGUGACAAAUCGGCUUUUUUCUGGGUAGCUAACCAGUGGUUAGGUGCUGAGUUCCUUAUUACCUGGCUGUUGCUUUCCUCUUUUAACUCUCCCAAUUCUAAUUGGCUGCUUUCAGUCUAUUAUGAUUUGACAACAGAGAUAACCAAAGUUGGUGGUUCCUUGUAUAAAACAUGAGUCUAUGAAGUAUAAUGAAAGCCCUUAUUGCAGUCGUCUUCAACAUUUUUGAAAUCAUGCAAUUGUUAGCAGCAUAUGGGAAGUGAUCAAAGUUUCCCCAAGCAGUUUUAAAGAUUGGAUUUAACUAUAAUACAAAUAAGACUUCAGUGUAAUGUCUUACAAAACACCCACCACUGUCUUUGUUCUCUUGGACUUAUUUAACCAUGUCGCCACUGUGUUGUUUUCUUUAGAAACAUUUAUUUUCCUCACCCUACUUGCUUACGCUUUUUCAUAUUCUGGUAAACAUAAGACCUUUCUUUGAAAUACAUAGUUUUAAAUAGCUCAUAUUUAUGGAACGGGACCCACUCAGCUCAACCUUCCAUGUGAAAGAUAUCUCUGAAGUUGUACGAUUAUGACCUAUGAUUAUGACCCAUAAUUUUUUUUUUUGAUAUAUAUUUUAUUGCAUUUUAGGUUUUGGGGUACAUGUGAAGAGUAUGCAAGAUUUUGCAUAGGUACACACAUGGCAGUGUGAUUUGCUGCCUUCCUCCCCAUCACCUAUAUCUGGUAUUUCUCCCCAUGCUAUCCCUCCCCAACUCCCCA